AAUGGGCGAAAGCCUGACGCAGCCACGCCGCGUGUGCGAUGAAGGUCUUCGGAUCGUAAAGCACUGUGGGGGGAGAAGAAACAAGUCGGUGAAGAGCCGGCCCUGACGGUAUCCCCUUAGCAAGCACCGGCUAACUCCGUGCCAGCAGCCGCGGUAAUACGGAGGGUGCAAACGUUGCUCGGAAUCAUUGGGCGUAAAGCGCACGUAGGCGGCCUAUCAAGUCGGAUGUGAAAGCCCUGGGCUCAACCCCAGAAGUGCAUCCGAAACUGAUAGGCUUGAAUGCCGGAGGGGCCCAGAGAAUUCCCGGUGUAGAGGUGAAAUUCGUAGAUAUCGGGAGGAAUACCAGUGGCGAAGGCGCUGGGCUGGACGGUCAUUGACGCUGAGGUGCGAAAGCGUGGGGAGCAAA
This 406-nucleotide ribosomal RNA is filed under the name uncultured bacterium. RNAcentral describes it as "bacterial SSU rRNA". It matches the Rfam family "Bacterial small subunit ribosomal RNA", at positions 370 to 772 of the family's 1533-position model. The record is from RNAcentral.